Molecule: unclassified non-coding RNA, 2392 nt
Filed under: Bactrocera latifrons
Lineage: Eukaryota; Metazoa; Arthropoda; Insecta; Diptera; Tephritidae
Description: uncharacterized LOC108978335, transcript variant X2
Source: RNAcentral
ACAUUUUUUGCCAGCCAGCUUCAAAUGAAAGAAAAUUAUAUUUUUUUAUUGAAUUUAAUGUGAGACAAAUUGCUGAGAUAAGUUCAAAUUGUGAAAGUCGCGAUUGGAAAAGUAAAGCCACACAAGAAAAAAAUCGAUAAACAAAAAUGGAAUUAGUAAAUAACGUACAAAGAAAUAUACCUACUUAAAGUUACAUACAUAAGGAAUAUAGAGCCCUAUCAUAAAUAGUAUAAUACAUAGAUGGUAAAUAUUCCAAGUGUUUAAAUGAGCAAAUCCGUUCAAGCCAUUGGCAGAAUGAAAUAUUCAUAAAGGCAAAUCCAAAACGUGCGACUACGCAGGAAUUACCCGCCAAGAAAACAAGCGUGAAAAUACAAAUACCGCAUUGCUGUAUGGGUGUAUAUGUGCAUAUGAGUAAGUGAGAGGCUGGGUAAUGACGCCGAGUGCGUGACUGUCGACAGCAAUCAUCAUAUCUAGUAGAAAAUCUGCACCACCGUCAAUCACGCCAAUGUCAACAGUUCGUCUUCAACAAGUGCAACACAUCCAUCAUUAUUACCAAAAGGAGCAACAAGAGACAGCACAGCAACACCGCAGCCCAGCAGACAACAGCGACGCAAUCGCACAGAAAUAAAUUUAAAUAAUGCUUGUAACUAGCUUUCUAAUGCAUUCUACGCCGAUUUAAGUGAGCUCACGUCACCAGCCCAACCACUUAACGCAAUCCCUACCCGAUAAGCACUCGAAACUUAGGAAGCUAUUGCCAACAUCGAAGUGGAUGCGACACCAUCGAACCACAGCGACACUCGUAAAAUAUUUGAACUACACAUAGAGAAGGUAUCCGCGAGGAGGGAGGCAGAAAAAUGUUCGAUACGAAAUGGUUGCCUGCCGCCUGUGGCAGUUUGGCACCCGCUCUUAUACCGCCCGCUCACAUGUUGGUGUUGGCCUACUUUUGGGAAAAUUACUCGCGCUACGUUGAUAAGCACUUUUGUACAUGCUCCUGCUGGGACACCAUAUUCAAAGGGCCCUACGAGUCGGGUGUUGCCUCAUACAAGCAUCUCUACUUCAAUGUCACACAAAAUUCAUUCAAAAUGUGGCUGCUCACUGUAUUCGCUGUUAUUGCGCUUUAUGAAUGCAUUAAACAGUUGAUUGCGUUGAUAUUGCAACAACGUUGUCGCUACUCGAUGUUGUUGCUCUUCUCGCUGUCGAUAUUUUCACACUAUUAUGCCUGGUGGGCGUACAUAAAUUACUACAACGAUGACUAUUACCAGCAAUGGAACCAUCAGCUAUUUUUUACGGUAACCGAAAUGAUAUCUUCCUUGCUGGUCAUGCAUCUCGCGAACACUACUAACACGGUCACAUCGAAGAAAGUAUUCUGCAUUGUUGGCAUCGCCAUACUCCACAUCACAGCCAGCAGUUUCGACCAGUUCUUCAUGAAUGUGGUGCGUGGCGAAGGUUAUGCACAUCAAAUAGUACGAGAUAUCGGCUUUAUGGUGCCAGAUAUACUGCAAUUAAUCAUACCAUUGUGGCUGUUCCGCAAGACGCGCAAGGAAUCGUACACAACGCGUCCCUUUUACCGAGACCGCAAUCUACACAAAGACAUUGUGGCGAUGUUAUUCUUCGUGCUGGCGCUCUUUGUUGUCUGUACGAUUUUGUGAGAUAGAAUUUUCCAAUACCUGCAGAUGAUGAAUAGUGAGGAGGAAGCGCGCGCAACGAGACGCAUGAAUCUGAUGGCUCGACUAUACUUCAAUGUCAACAACAACCAAGUGUUGAAUUGAGCUGCACGCGUUUGUUGGUGGAUGCCGCUGAAGAGUUCUGAGCUUGCGGUGACACACUUUUUGCUGAAACUACUAAACGUUGGCGUGUAAGUCUAGAUGUAGUUAGUUUUAGCAACAAAAUAUAUGAAAUACGUACUUAUUUACUUAUAUAUAGUAUAUAUAUAUAGAUACAUAGAUACAUAUACUUACAUAUAUUAGAGUAAACCAAAGAACAAAUUUUCCCCUCUCUAACCUUGUGAUAACUGUGUUUCUUUGAUAUCCUUAGAUUUUAACAAAUUUAAUCAUAUUUGUUUCAAUUUCUUACCUGUAGUGAUUAUUAUUUAGGUUCCUUAGGAAAGAUGUUUUAUAAUCUAAACAAUAUUUAAUAUUAGAAGAGAGAGGGUGUUUAGCUGUCAUUCACAUACAUACAUAUGUAUAUGCAUUUGGUCAAAUAUUUUUAAACACUGAGUUGCAUUCCUUGAAAAUAGAACAUAUUAUUACAUGCAUCGGCAGUCACACACUCUGUCUUUUCCUACCUUUAUAUGACUCAACUCUACACCCUUAUCCAGUCUGCAGAAACCAGAAUUAAGGACGUGGUUGUUGAGGUCGUUAAUAUUGUAUCGGCGUAUGCCAGCAGCUAUACA